GGGGCUGACCGGUUUUGACAGCAAGAGUAGUAGAUCGGUAAGCAUGUCGAGCCUUGUGAUUAAGCUCGUUAAUCCGUGUCACACAACUAUUAAUUGGCGAAAACAAUUUUGCUCUCGCAGCAUAAUCGAAGUUUAGUAGAUUAGCUUUAUUCCGAUGCCAGGCAUUGGAUCGAGACGGUUCGCAGGUGGAGAUGCCUAAUUCCGGCCUGAUAUCGAGUCGCACGUAAUUUUGGGAUAGUUUCGAUGCUGCUUCAUCAUCGUUACGAAAUUUAGAAGCUAAGGUAAGGAUCAGGGUGUUUGUUCCCUUUCCGAUCUCGAAAACCAAUAACAACCUAAGCAUGUAGAAAGCCAGUUUGUUCCUUGUUUGGACGAGGGUUCGAAUCCCUCCAGCUCCACUU
Non-coding RNA from Bacteroidetes bacterium GWF2_41_31, 398 nucleotides. The record is from Rfam. NCBI's taxonomy places the organism in Bacteria, Pseudomonadati, Bacteroidota.